Long non-coding RNA from Echeneis naucrates (live sharksucker), 1869 nucleotides. NCBI's taxonomy places the organism in Eukaryota, Metazoa, Chordata, Actinopteri, Carangiformes, Echeneidae. The record is from Ensembl.
GCUGCAUCAGAGCUCCACUUGUCCUCAGGUUCCCCAGAGGAAACACCGCUGCACAAAAUGCUUCUCCUCCCAGCUGCUGCUCUGUGCUGUCUGUGUUCAGGUGAGUGAUUCCAGCCAAUCAGGAGCCUCCACCUGUGACCCACACGCUCACACUGACCUUCAUCUACCUGUCCGUCUCUCUGCAGCCAUGGUUGCCACGGCAGCAGAGGAGCUGAUUCAGGACCAGUUAUCAUUGACCAGGAGAGUUGGUCAGUCAGCCUCUUUCACCUGUGAACAAACUCAGAGGUGUGACACUGAUUAUGUUCGCUGGUACCAGAAGAAAGAAACAUUCACUCUGAUUCUGCGUAUUAGAAGGAGUAGUGGUGCUGUAGAAAAAGGUUAUGGUCAUCCUCAGAAAGAUGAUUUCUCAGCUGUUAAUAUCCAGAACGGCUGUGAGUUGAAGAUCGACAAAGUUAAACUCUCUCAUUCAGCCUCCUACUACUGCAUCUGUGAGAAGUAUGAUCCCCACAGUGAGAAAAGAUCCCUGCAGCCUGAACAAAAACCUUCAGAUGAACUGAUGUCAAACAGUGUUAGUGACAGGAAGACAGCAGGAAACCACAGCCCAGGGUCACAGAUUUCACCUCCAGCUCAGACUCUUGUUCUGGACUCUUCUCUGAUAUUGAUUCAUAUUUGGAUGAGAUAUUUCAGCAGCUUUCCUGUUGGUCCACACAGUGAGGACGAAGAAGACACACAGGAGCACAAUAAGAAAACAAGAGGAGGAACUGAAUGAAUCAAAUCCUGAUGAAGAGACCUGACAGACCUGCUCCACCAGAGUCACAAUGUGGUCCAGGAGGAAGGACCAAAGAAGAAGAGACAGUGAUGUUGAUGUGGACAUCAGCUGAAAUAUGAUCCUGGUUCAUAAUGUGGACUCGUUCAGCUCAGCUGACACAUUCAACAGCAGACAGGUUUUUGUAUCAGUCUCUGUCACUGUGGGAGGAUACUGGCGCUUCAUCUUUGGCUCUGGAACUAAACUGUAUGUAACAGAUGAGCCGGUAGUGAAGCCCGUGGUGAGCGUGUACCCGGCAGCAUCCAGAGCCCACCUGGAGGGGAAGAGCUCCCUGCUGUGUCUGGCCUCAGCCAUGUCUCCUCCUCUGGUCCAGUUCUCCUGGAAAAGACAGAAGGAGGACGGUCCUCUGGAGGAGCUGCCCCCUGCCGAGGGAGAGCAGCUGCAGCUCACACAGUUGGGACGGGGACGCUCCGCCGCCAUCUUGACCGUCCGUCAGCCAGAGAGCGCCACGUAUAAAUACAUCUGCUCCGUCAGGCACGAGGGCGGCACAGCGGAGGGCCCGACACAACAAGUUGCAGUGCUUCCCCUGGAUCCUCUCCAGCCUCAGAGCAGGGUGAAGCUGCUCUGUCUGCUCUACACAGUGCUGAUAGUGAAGAGUCUGGUGUACUGCUGUGGACUCUCUCUGCUGAUGAGCCUCAGAGACGACGGACCGUCCACCAACUACACUGACUGACUUCAUCUCAGUCAUCACAAUUUUCCCUCCCAUGUAUGUUGUUCUUCACAGCUUAGAUAGAAUCAGCUGCUUCUCACACGUUUCCUUCUUCUUUGUGUUUUUCUCCUCCUGUGUGUCGUGUUAGUGCAGAUUCAGCUGAGAGACACUUUCAAUAAAACCAGAUCAGAUCUCGCUCUGUCACUUUCUGCAGGUUUUUUAUUGAAAACUUUCUGCAGUUUCAUGAAAACACGACGGUGUGAUUCAUAUAUAUGUUAGACAGUUUCAACUCUGAACUUUACUUUUGUUUUCAUGCUGAAAAUCCAACUUGAAUAAAAAGACGUGAAUCAAUCUUCAUUUCUGGUCUUUUUGUCUCCAUCACAGAAUGAUCACA